This 798-nucleotide ribosomal RNA is filed under the name uncultured bacterium. Its description in RNAcentral is "bacterial SSU rRNA". It matches the Rfam family "Bacterial small subunit ribosomal RNA", at positions 8 to 814 of the family's 1533-position model. The record is from RNAcentral.
AGAGUUUGAUCAUGGCUCAGGAUAAACGCUGGCGGCGCACAUAAGACAUGCAAGUCGAACGGACUUAACCAUUAGUUUACUAUUGGAGCGGUUAGUGGCGGACUGGUGAGUAACACGUAAGCAACCUGCCUAUUAGAGGGGAACAACAGUUAGAAAUGACUGCUAAUACCGCAUAUGCCUUGAGUAUCGCAUGAUACAAGAGGGAAAGGAGCAAUCCGCUAAUAGAUGGGCUUGCGUCUGAUUAGAUAGUUGGUGGGGCAACGGCCUACCAAGUCGACGAUCAGUAGCCGGACUGAGAGGUUGAACGGCCACAUUGGGACUGAGAUACGGCCCAGACUCCUACGGGAGGCAGCAGUCGGGAAUAUUGCGCAAUGGAGGAAACUCUGACGCAGUGACGCCGCGUGCAGGAAGAAGGUUUUCGGAUUGUAAACUGCUUUAGACAGGGAAGAACAAAGACAGUACCUGUAGAAUAAGCUCCGGCUAACUACGUGCCAGCAGCCGCGGUAAUACGUAGGGAGCAAGCGUUAUCCGGAUUUAUUGGGUGUAAAGGGUGCGUAGACGGGAAGGCAAGUUAGUUGUGAAACCCCUCGGCUUAACUGAGGAACUGCAACUAAAACUAUCUUUCUUGAGUGCUGGAGAGGAAAGUGGAAUUCCUAGUGUAGCGGUGAAAUGCGUAGAUAUUAGGAGGAACACCAGUGGCGAAGGCGACUUUCUGGACAGUAACUGACGUUGAGGCACGAAAGUGUGGGGAGCAAACAGGAUUAGAUACCCUGGUAGUCCACACCGUAAACGAUGGAU